This 1807-nucleotide long non-coding RNA is filed under the name Bemisia tabaci. RNAcentral describes it as "lncRNA ENSSWEETPG010314". The record is from RNAcentral. Lineage: Eukaryota; Metazoa; Arthropoda; Insecta; Hemiptera; Aleyrodidae.
AUAGAUAAUGGCUAUAAUCGAGGCAACAAUAACAAUAGUAGUAAUAGUUCUGUUAAAAGCUAUAGUUCAAAGUAUUCUGGAAGUGAAUCAAAGACUCAGGAUACCGGCCAAUCAGCAACCGCGUCAGAUGUAGAUGAUUAUCAAGCUUCGACCAGGCCAAGUAGUAAGGAACCACAACCCCCGCCAAGGCAUCUAAGGCGGAGGAAGAAGGAAGAUGAAGUCGCUCAUGCGCCGGUGUCUACGAAUCGGCCCUCCGAGCGCAGUUCGUCGACCCAGUUUGACUUGGAAGCAGAUGCUUUCCCACCUUUACCUAGUGCUGUGACUCAUCCCUCAUCCUCCGCUCCAACGCAAACCACAUGCCCUGCACCCUUCUCACACCCCUCAUGCUCCACCAGUCGAGGUGGAAGCCUCCCCUCUGCCCCCUGUUGUGACUGUUGCCGAGGCUCCAUCUUCAGACUCACACUCCGAAAACAGUCGGUUAUCAGAUGUAGUGAAAGGAACUGCCAAACAACAAAAAAGCAGAGGAGAGUCACCGGUUGAAAAUUUAUCAUCAACUAGUCAAUCAACGCAACACAAUGCAGUAGACCUUAAUGUCCCUGCUCCUCCCGUAUCUCCGUCCUUAUCAGACAAAUCAGGUACAGGGACAGGAGCUGGUACUGAAGAGAAAUGGACCAAGACUGAUGAAACUAAUGAGAAGGAGGAAGUAGUAACAACGACUGCAGGAUCAGUGGCACCCAGCAGCACUGUGAGCAAACAUCACACUGCUACAAACAAUGCUACCACCAUGACUGAACACUCUACACCACAUCAGACACAGUCAGAGGUGAGUCCUUUGUCCAGCAGUGUUAAUGCCACUGUUGAACUUUAUAGUAAGACACUAAUGUUAGACUUUCAUUAAGAUUAGCAGCAGGACUAAGAGGAAAAAAUUAUCUAAGUUGUUUUAUUUGUGUAAAGUCCAAGAUAAUAUUUAUUCGAUAUCUGUCUAUUGAAAACAAAGUUGCUCUUCCAGAUCAUGAUGGUACGAUUAAAGUAAUUUCAAUUUGUGAUAAAAUCUUCAUUUAGAGUUUUCUUUCAUAAUACUUUGAUGUAUUAACAUUGAAACUGCUAAAAUGCGUUUCUCACUUGCUGUGUUUUAAAAGUUCUUCUCUUAUUCUUUUUUAAGACCAAACCAGCAUCAUGGCCUGAAAUUAUCAUUGAAUAUUCGUUACACAGAGAAGAAUAAAUCACCAAAGUUUUAAUAAAAUGACAUCCAGUAGUUUCUAUCUAAAAAAUAAAGCAGUACAGGAAGUUGGCAAUGCAGUAAAUCAAGAUUUGCAUUUUUGCAGUUUCACCAUUGAUAUGUGGGUGUUGUAUCCUUAGACAUUCAUGUUUAAGAAUAUACUCUGAAGAGUUAACCAUCCUUAAGUAUUUAUGUCUCUUCAAUUCAUGCUCCUCCUGUAAGAGGGGUACUAAAAAUGCUGAAUGUCAUGAUCUGCUUCAGACCCAGAGGUAGACCCCAGGUAGUGUGGUAACUUUCAGAAGUGAUUAUUUUUUUUCCUCUUACUAUUCCUUUGCUCAUUACCUAAAAAAAUUAGGGUAAAGCUGAAAUUUUUCAAUAGGCAAAUAGGGCAAAGUGCUGUGACUCAAAAAAACCGAAUCUGACAAACAGUAUGAGUUUAAAUUCUUUGCAGUUAUAUCCUGUGUUUUUAUUAAGAGAAGGUUAGUCCUUACCCAUUAAUGAGGUAGUUGCAUGAAAUUUGUUUAAUUCACUUUCUAAAAAUUUUGAGGUCUACUGAGUGUCAAGGUAUUUUUUCAAAACUUUUUAGUC